CUGUUAAAUCCAAGGGUCAGGGCAUUCUCCCCUUGAGACAGUAGCCGUGCCCUCCCUUUUCCUCCACAGGAUUCAGUAGUGUGAAUUUGUCUCGUCUCAUCCAUAACACCGCAGACACUGCGGGCUGGUGUCCA
Molecule: long non-coding RNA, 134 nt
Organism: Phyllostomus discolor (pale spear-nosed bat)
Lineage: Eukaryota; Metazoa; Chordata; Mammalia; Chiroptera; Phyllostomidae
Exons: 4
Source: RefSeq, a predicted model, not a curated record